GGAAAUACAAAGAAAAGGAUAAGUACUUAGUUUAGUCACUUUUAGAGAGUGAGGGUAUGGUGCAACCUCAUAGGAAUAGCUAGGAAAAAUCACCUUGGAGUUGAGAACUGAAUUUUUAGUAGGUUUCUUCGUUAUUCUACGUUACAGAAUAGGAUAUGUCAGUAUCUGAAAUUUUAACCAUAGGUGGUUUGCGAAUAUUACUUCGUCCUAUUU
Molecule: non-coding RNA, 213 nt
Filed under: Clostridium cellulovorans
Lineage: Bacteria; Bacillati; Bacillota; Clostridia; Eubacteriales; Clostridiaceae
Description: T-box sequence
Rfam family: T-box leader
About the family: Uncharged tRNA acts as the effector for transcription antitermination of genes in the T-box leader family.
Source: RNAcentral